Long non-coding RNA from Rhincodon typus (whale shark), 260 nucleotides. RefSeq lists it as uncharacterized. Lineage: Eukaryota; Metazoa; Chordata; Chondrichthyes; Orectolobiformes; Rhincodontidae. The record is from RefSeq and is a predicted model, not a curated record. The transcript has 3 exons.
CAUUUUUAUUGUGCAUUUACAGUUCAGAUGAGAAUGGAAGGCAAUGCAUGUUACACUUGGCAAAGUAAUGGCUUUUGAGACCUCACCUGGAUUACUUUGCAUAGUUUAGGGAAGGAUCAAAAUGUUCAUCAACUUACUCAAGCUAUGGUACAACUCUAAAGCAGAUGGCUCUAAACUCAAGCCUUCUAGCUGAAAGGUUUUGAGGGCUCUCAGCAGAACAGUAUCCUCGACCCCAGGACAGAAGCUGGAAUAGAUUAAGU